CCUACGGGUGGCAGCAGUGGGGAAUAUUGCGCAAUGGGCGAAAGCCUGACGCAGCGACGCCGCGUGAGGGAUGAAGGUCUUCGGAUCGUAAACCUCUGUCAGCAGGGAAGAACGGUCACUGUGCUAAUCAGCAGUGAAUUGACGGUACCUGCAACGGAAGCACCGGCUAACUCCGUGCCAGCAGCCGCGGUAAUACGGAGGGUGCGAGCGUUAAUCGGAAUUACUGGGCGUAAAGCGCUCGUAGGCGGUAUGUCAAGUCAAGGGUGAAAUCCCCGCGCUCAACGUGGGAACUGCCUUUGAAACUGGCAAACUGGAGUGUGUGAGAGGAUAGUGGAAUUCCAGGUGUAGGGGUGAAAUGCGUAGAUAUCUGGAGGAACAUCAGUGGCGAAGGCGACUAUCUGGCACAUAACUGACGCUGAGGAGCGAAAGCGUGGGGAGCAAACAGGAUUAGAUACCCUUGUAGUC
This 465-nucleotide ribosomal RNA is filed under the name uncultured bacterium. RNAcentral describes it as "partial 16S ribosomal RNA". It matches the Rfam family "Bacterial small subunit ribosomal RNA", at positions 338 to 795 of the family's 1533-position model. The record is from RNAcentral.